ACGGCUAACUACGUGCCAGCAGCCGCGGUAAUACGUAGGUCCCGAGCGUUGUCCGGAUUUAUUGGGCGUAAAGGGAGCGCAGGCGGUUUCUUAAGUCUGAUGUGAAAGGCAGUGGCUUAACCAUUGUACUGCAUUGGAAACUGGGAGGCUUGAGUGCAGUAGAGGUGAGUGGAAUUCCUUGUGUAGCGGUGAAAUGCGUAGAUAUAAGGAAGAACACCGGAGGCGAAGGCGGCUCACUGGGCUGUAACUGACGCUGAGGCUCGAAAGCGUGGGUAGCAAACAGGAUUAGAUACCCUGGUAGUCCACGCCGUAAACGAUGAGUGCUAGAUGUUGGGAGGCAUACGCUUUUCAGUAUCGCAGCUAACGCGAUAAGCACUCCGCCUGGGGAGUACGACCGCAAGGUUGAAACUCAAAGGAAUUGACGGGGGCCCGCACAAGCGGUGGAGCAUGUGGUUUAAUUCGAUGCAACGCGAAGAACCUUACCAGGGCUUGACAUCCCUCUGACCGCUCUAGAGAUAGAGCUUCCCUUCGGGGCAGAGGUGACAGGUGCUGCAUGGUUGUCGUCAGCUCGUGCCGUGAGAUGUUGGGUUAAGUCCCGCAACGAGCGCAACCCUUAUGUUUAGUUGCCAUCAUUAAGUUGGGCACUCUAGACAGACUGCCGCAGAUAAUGCGGAGGAAGGUGGGGAUGACGUCAAAUCAUCAUGGCCCUUAUGACCUGGGCUACACACGUGCUACAAUGGC
This 741-nucleotide ribosomal RNA is filed under the name uncultured Bacillota bacterium. Its description in RNAcentral is "bacterial SSU rRNA". It matches the Rfam family "Bacterial small subunit ribosomal RNA", at positions 493 to 1234 of the family's 1533-position model. Lineage: Bacteria; Bacillati; Bacillota. The record is from RNAcentral.